GAUGAACGCUAGCUACAGGCUUAACACAUGCAAGUCGAGGGGAAACGACAUCGAAAGCUUGCUUUUGAUGGGCGUCGACCGGCGCACGGGUGAGUAACGCGUAUCCAACCUGCCCAUCACUUGGGAAUAACCUUGCGAAAGUAAGACUAAUACCCAAUGAUAUCCCACGAAGGCAUCGGAAUGGGAUUAAAGAUUUAUCGGUGAUGGAUGGGGAUGCGUCUGAUUAGCUUGUUGGCGGGGUAACGGCCCACCAAGGCAACGAUCAGUAGGGGUUCUGAGAGGAAGGUCCCCACAUUGGAACUGAGACACGGUCCAAACUCCUACGGGAGGCAGCAGUGAGGAAUAUUGGUCAAUGGGCGAGAGCCUGAACCAGCCAAGUAGCGUGCAGGAAGACGGCCCUAUGGGUUGUAAACUGCUUUUAUAAGGGAAUAAAGUGGGUCACGUGUGACUUUUUGCAUGUACCUUAUGAAUAAGGACCGGCUAAUUCCGUG
This 491-nucleotide ribosomal RNA is filed under the name uncultured bacterium. RNAcentral's name for it is "partial 16S ribosomal RNA". It matches the Rfam family "Bacterial small subunit ribosomal RNA", at positions 28 to 507 of the family's 1533-position model. The record is from RNAcentral.